UUGCCUUCCUAAAUGCUCAGGAUUAUUUUCAAGCCGUGACCUGGCUUCUGAGUUUAUAUUUGAAUGCGCAAGAAGUACUUUCAAGAGGACCGAUACCUACCCAACGUUCUUCAAUAUUUUCAGACGAAAUUUAGACCAGACAGAGGUGGAUAAACCCGGUUUCGACAAUUUUUCGCGACAUUGGCAACAACGACAUCGAUGGCGACAAAACAAGUAGUAGCCAAGUACGAAUGCCAGAAAACAUCAAACUUGUGGUUUGCAUUUAUAAUGAUGUAGCUAUUUCAACAUUGAUUUCAUCCAGAUGAUUCCACAUAGACCUCGUUUAUUUCAUCGUACAAAUCGACCACGUAAAUAGAAUCACCUAAAUAUCUCUGUUAUUUUUAUAGUUGUGAAAAUGUUUUAUGGUGGAAGCUAUAGGAUGCUAGCAAUAAUUUUCCUUUGGAGAGCUCUCGAAGAUUUCAAGGAUGCUUCUACUUCUUCUUUUUAAUUGCGUUCUAUAGUUUUUUAUUUUUAACAGAAAGCGGCCGUUUGGAAGAUUUCAACGACCCAUGACCAUAGUACAAGGUCAUUCCUUAGCAAAACUUAAGUUAGGACUUGGAGAGUCUUAGUAGUGUGAAAUAAAAGAUACAGAAGAGGCGCGGUUAAGAUAUUAAAUUUGAAGAAUUCUUUCUGAUAUUCAAUGUAUGCUUUUAAAUAAUAUUCCAAUUAUAAUAUACUAUUUUUAUUAAAAAAAUAA
Long non-coding RNA from Bombus pyrosoma, 736 nucleotides. RefSeq lists it as uncharacterized. Lineage: Eukaryota; Metazoa; Arthropoda; Insecta; Hymenoptera; Apidae. The record is from RefSeq and is a predicted model, not a curated record. The transcript has 2 exons.